GCGGAGGUGGUGAAAAGGCAGACACGCAGCGUUUAGGGCGCUGUGAGCGUAAGCUCGUGGGAGUUCAAAUCUCCCCCUCCGCA
This 83-nucleotide transfer RNA is filed under the name bacterium. Its description in RNAcentral is "tRNA-Leu". It matches the Rfam family "tRNA". Rfam says of the family: Transfer RNA (tRNA) molecules are approximately 80 nucleotides in length. Their secondary structure includes four short double-helical elements and three loops (D, anti-codon, and T loops). Further hydrogen bonds mediate the characteristic L-shaped molecular structure. tRNAs have two regions of fundamental functional importance: the anti-codon, which is responsible for specific mRNA codon recognition, and the 3' end, to which the tRNAs corresponding amino acid is attached (by aminoacyl-tRNA synthetases). tRNAs cope with the degeneracy of the genetic code in two manners: having more than one tRNA (with a specific anti-codon) for a particular amino acid; and 'wobble' base-pairing, i.e. permitting non-standard base-pairing at the 3rd anti-codon position. The record is from RNAcentral.